Long non-coding RNA from Cygnus olor (mute swan), 1011 nucleotides. RefSeq lists it as uncharacterized. The record is from RefSeq and is a predicted model, not a curated record. The transcript is spliced from 3 exons. Lineage: Eukaryota; Metazoa; Chordata; Aves; Anseriformes; Anatidae.
CACCCAGCCCAGUGGUGGUUACUGGAUCAUCAUCCCUUGCUGAGGACAGGUCUGCAUGGGCACUGGUCAGUAAACUGCAGGUAUACUGGCACCACAAUGGGCUCUCAGACAAUUAAACACCUGCCAUAUUGUAGCUGUGAAAAAUGUUAUGUUUCUAACUUGGGCUGAGAAGUAGACAAGAUAUAUACCUCAUGGGGAAAAGAAACUUGCUCCAGGAGUGUCAAGAGCAGGGCAGGCCGGCAGGGCUGUGGCCUCUCCUCCUUUUCCCUCAGCGAUGUCCAGGCGAGGUGGUGGCAGCAAUAAGGUGGGUACUGGCUGGUAAGGGGUCCCAUGGCCCCUGCCCAGGCCGCCCCCAGCACCUCACACCGAGCAACUGCUGGCAGCUGCGGCCUGGUCCUGCCAUGGUGCCUGGCCAGGAUGGGCCACCAAAUGCUGGAGAGGCCGCUGAGAUGGAUCUUCAAAGGGAAAGUCAAUAGGUGCCCCACAUCAUGUAGCCAUUACCGACCUCCACAACUCAUGGUAGGAGAAGCCGGCCUGCUUUGCUAGAUUUUUAUCUCACAUUACCUCUUGUUAAAACACAUCUGGUUUCACCCAGUCCAAGUCUUGAGGUAUUGUGCAAGGGGCUAGAGGAGAGUGUUGCCAUUAGCACCGGGCACACGUUUUGUUGGCAGGUGCAGGAGAAAGUAGCCACAGGAGGAAGCCGAUGCAGCUGUUGCAUUUCCCUCCCUCAGGCCUCGGCCUUGGCUGUGUACUGUGCUUAGCCAUGCACCUGAUCACUGUUUGUGUGACUGAGGGCCCUGUGGCAGCUUGGGGAUCUGCACAGCGACGAUAGUAAUAUUUUGAAUUCUCAAAGUAACAAUUAUCCACAUCCAUCAAGUCCACCAGACAGCCAGGAGGAAUGAAUGAUAACUUGGAGUCUCCUGAACAGCCCCAUUUGUUCCUGACAGUGUGUUAUCUGCAACAUUAAUUUGCCUUGACAGUGCAAUGUGAAAAUAUAAUAAAGUCCAGACG